GGGCUGAAUGUGUGAGUGGGGGAUGACGUUUCCAGUUUGAAGGCAGCUGAUUGGAUGUCCCGGUGAAACCUGAUCUCUACUUGCGGAUUUCUGUAGGAAAAAAAAAAAAAGGGGAAGGAAAAGAAAUAGGCACCCAGGGCACUUAUGAUCAGCUCAGUUUGUGUUUCAUCUUUCCGCGGGCGCAAGUCUGGAAACAAGCCUCCUUCCAAGUCAUGUUUGAAAGGAAAUAUGGGCAAAAACGAGGACAGCGACAAAAUUGUCAUUAAUGUUGGGGGUAUCAGGCAUGAGACCUACAGGAGUACCCUCAAAACCUUGCCAGGUACCAGACUCUCCUGGCUCACUGAGCCUGAUGCCUUUAGUAACUUUGACUAUGACCCCAAAACAGACGAGUUCUUCUUUGACAGACACCCUCAAGUCUUUGCCUGUGUCUUGAACUACUAUAGGACUGGGAAGCUGCACUGUCCCUCCGAUGUGUGCGGACCCCUGUACGAGGAAGAGUUGGCUUUUUGGGGGAUUGAUGAGACUGAUGUGGAGGCAUGUUGUUGGAUGAAUUACAGGCAGCACAGGGAUGCAGAGGAAGCCCUGGAUAGCUUUGAGACUCCAGAGCCAGAGGAGGAAGAGGAUGGAGAUCUGAAAAGACUCUGCCUCCAAGAAGAUGGUAGAAAGCUGGGCUGGUGGAAGAGGUUGCGGCCUAAAGUCUGGGCUCUCUUUGAGGAUCCCUACUCUUCAAAAUAUGCCAGGUAUAUCGCCUUAGCUUCCCUAUUCUUCAUACUCAUCUCCAUCACAACGUUCUGCCUUGAGACCCAUGAGGCAUUUAAUGAUGUCAACAACAAGACUGAGGUCUUCACACAAGGCAACAUCACUAAGACGGAGACCAUAUUGGAAAUGGAGACUGCGCCUUUUCUCAAUUACGUAGAAGGCAUUUGUGUGAUCUGGUUCACUUUUGAGUUUCUAAUACGUGUUAUUUUCUGCCCAGAUAAAAUGGAGUUCAUUAAAAGCAGCUUAAACAUUAUAGACUUUGUGGCCAUUUUACCCUUCUACUUGGAAAUUGGCUUGAGUGGCUUGUCUUCCAAAGCAGCCAAGGAUGUUCUCGGUUUCCUUCGGGUUGUUCGAUUUGUUAGGAUCCUGAGAAUCUUUAAGCUCACUCGCCAUUUUGUUGGGCUCAGGGUUCUUGGCCACACUCUACGAGCCAGUACAAAUGAGUUUCUCCUUCUUAUCAUAUUUUUGGCACUUGGAGUUUUAAUCUUCGCUACCAUGAUAUACUACGCCGAAAGGAUUGGUGCUGACCCAGAUGACAUCACUGGAAGUAAGCACACCUACUUCAAAAACAUCCCAAUAGGGUUUUGGUGGGCUGUCGUAACUAUGACAACUUUGGGAUAUGGGGACAUGUACCCAAUGACUUGGUCUGGCAUGUUGGUGGGUGCUCUUUGUGCUUUGGCAGGUGUGCUAACUAUUGCUAUGCCAGUCCCUGUUAUUGUCAACAAUUUUGGAAUGUACUACUCCCUUGCUAUGGCUAAGCAAAAGCUACCAAAGAAAAAGAAUAAACAUAUUCCCCGACCUCCUCUACCUGGAUCACCCAAUUACUGUAAACCAGACUUGCAGUCUCCACAUAGAAGUGCUCAAGGAGAUGCCUGCCCUUUAGCUCAGGAGGAAAUCAUUGAGAUCAACAGAGCAGACUCCAAGCAGAAUGGGGAUGCUGCAAAUGCUGCACUGGCCAAUGAAGAUUGCCCUACUAUAGACCAGGCUCUGUCACCAGAGGAAAAGUCACCUAUCACGCCUGGUGGGAGGGAGAGAUAUAAUCGUGAUCGUGCUUGCUUCCUGUUGACCACGGGAGACUUUGCACAUUCCCCAGAUGGCAACAUCCGCAAAGGUUAUGAAAAAUCCCGGAGUCUAAACAGCAUAGCUGGCAUGAGUGGAAAUAUGCUCAGACUGUCUCCUAUCUCCACCCCAUUUGGGUCACCAUCUGCAGUGAGACGCCCACGGUCUCCCAUUCCCUCCAUCUUAUAGCAUGGACUCAACCAACUGAUAAGGGGAACAUUAACUAGUAAAUACAAUAAAAACAAACAGACAUCAACAAUGGCAAGAGAACAAAAUAAGAGACUUUAACAAAUUCUAUUAUUUUUUAAGUGGUUGAUGAAAAAUAUAGAUUAUAUGCAGAUAUAUUUAAAAAAAAAAGUUUGGCUUUUAAAAAAAAAAAAGACAAGGAAAAAAAGAAAAAAAAAUUUUUUGCACUUUGCUGAGAAAUAUAUAUAUAAAAUUAAAAAAAAAAAAAAGACUUUUAUGACUCCCCCUGCUGAUCCGAAUUGGUGUGCUCCAGGAAGAAGCUGAAUGCGGAGUUGACAAAAUAAGCUCUUCCGGUAAAGAAGCAAAAAAACACCAAAGGAGGUUUUACUGGGGACAAGGGCGAUACGAGGAAAAUUAUAAGGAGAGUCCUGUCCUUGUCCGAUAUAUGCAGGCGGAAGCUGUCACUGUGAAUUAAUUGAUUCCCUCCCAUAC
Xenopus laevis (African clawed frog) is the source of this 2496-nucleotide RNA transcript. It is a transcript of the gene named potassium channel, voltage gated Shaw related subfamily C, member 1 S homeolog, with no coding region annotated. The record is from RefSeq and is marked provisional. The transcript is spliced from 5 exons. NCBI's taxonomy places the organism in Eukaryota, Metazoa, Chordata, Amphibia, Anura, Pipidae.